Molecule: long non-coding RNA, 1509 nt
Organism: Papaver somniferum (opium poppy)
Lineage: Eukaryota; Viridiplantae; Streptophyta; Magnoliopsida; Ranunculales; Papaveraceae
Exons: 8
Source: RefSeq, a predicted model, not a curated record
UUCUCCUCCUGAAUCAUUGAGGGUGAGAGUGAGAAGGAUGAUGAUUGAAUCAGGGUUUCGUUCCGAUUUUGGUUCCAUUAAAACCAAGGGGCUUUUUGGUUUCUAUCCAAGUAUAUGUUGAUUUACAAUUAGAUUGUUGUUUUUUUUUGUUUUUUGUUUGUUUGCCAAUUUUUCUCUUCUUCAUCCUUAAUCCUCUCUUCAGAAUUCUAAAGAGAUAUGGACGAAGAAGAGGAAAACUGAAACGGGAGUUGUGGUGCACUAUCCAGGUUAUGCAUUGUCAGUUGUUCUUAUAAACACUCUCAGAGAAACUGAAAGAAUUCUAAAGGAAACGGGGAGAUCUGUGUCCAUUUCGAAUUUUCCCUUGGAAAUGUCAAACUGCACUGCAGCUUUCAAAGCUCAGUGAUGGUUACUUCCAACAAGAGAUUAAAAGAACCUCUUGAACCAGAUUUGCUGUCAUGUACAGAAAUGGGAGUUGUAAGAGAUGGAACUAUUUCUGGGCUUUCACCAGAUAACGAGGAAUGUGUGGUGCGCCAUCCAGGUUAUCCAUCAUCAGCUUCUCAGGCUGUUCAACCUCUCGGAGGAGCUGAAAGAAUUUUAAAGGAAAUUGAACGAUCUGUGUGCAUUUCGACUUUUUUACUUGGAAAAUUUCGAACUGAACUUCAGUCCUUCAAACUUAAUGAUGACUACUAGAACCAACAGGAGACCGGAAAAGCCUCUUGAACCAUCAUUUGGGGACUAUAUCUUCGUCAAAGUUAAAGGGAUGAAAAACUUGAAGCUGCAUCCUCCAAAAUAUUUGGCGGUGACAAAUCUAGGUCCCCAAAAUAGCUGUAUGAAACAAUAAGAGUUGCUGAAGAUGCUAAGAUGGUUGCUGGUGUGAGAACAUGAAAGCAUCAAGAGUACUUGUUCACUUGAACUGGAUCAUCGAAGUUGUGGACGCACCUCAUUUUUGGAACCACCAGCAUAAGGUCUGACUUGUAAUUAUAAUCUAUGUAGGCUAAGCAAAAGAAUAUUGGUAAACCCAUUUUACCAUGAAAGCAGGAACCUUAAUAACACCGAGGAUCAGAAGAUGGUAUAGAGCGUUCCAACUUGAAUGCUCCUUGUUUGUUGUUCUAUGAGGUUAUCAUCUUAUGCUUUAUUCCGAGUUGUUGCUGAGGUAAAACCAAGGGUAUUUUCGUCGGUCUUUUUUUUCUGGACAAGAAGGUUUCAACUUGUCAUCUUAUGCCUUAUUGUGAGGUAUUACAAAGCUGACAAGAAUUGCGCCAGAAACGAAGAACUUGUAUCCUCAAUUCUCAAAGCGAAGAAGAGAAAGGUGCAGAAGGAUGUGCCUAAUUUUUUGGUUCACCAGUUUCCAAUGUAAUUUAUCCAGUAAUAAUACUGAAAAUAAUAAAUAAAGAAAAUAACUAGGGUUAGUAGUAUUCAGCCUAUAGCAAAGGGAGGAAUGUGCACCUCGGAGGGUGCACGCACUCUCAAAGUUGUGUCAUUGGUUUAUAAAAUUUCAAUUUUAUUUUA